Molecule: transfer RNA, 73 nt
Filed under: Planctomycetota bacterium
Lineage: Bacteria; Pseudomonadati; Planctomycetota
Description: Planctomycetes bacterium (groundwater metagenome) tRNA-Trp
Rfam family: tRNA
About the family: Transfer RNA (tRNA) molecules are approximately 80 nucleotides in length. Their secondary structure includes four short double-helical elements and three loops (D, anti-codon, and T loops).
Source: RNAcentral
AGGGCAGUAGCUCAACUGGUAGAGCAGCUGAUUCCAAAUCAGCAGGCUGGGGGUUCGAGCCCUCCCUGCCCUG